CCGGGCUGCAGUGCGGGCAGAGCACCGGUCCAGCCCCUCCGAGCGCCGCCGCUCCCAAUCGGCAUGGCUGCGGGCUCGGGCCAGCCGGGCUGUGGUACCGGCGGGGGCUGGUGCUGAGCCGGGCCAGCCCUGAAACACUGCACACAACUGAUCCUGUCCAGGCUGAAUAACUGGCCUCCAAUAGAGCUGGCAUCUCCAGACACAGCAAGGAUGCAGUCCACAGAUGACAGAUCUCACCACACAGCUGGGACAUUUGAGGACAAAGGGCUGGAGUUGAGACAGCCACAUCCAUUAUUCUUUAUGGAUUCUGUAGGACAUGCCAGCACCCCUGCAUCCAACUUUCCACUGUCUUUGUGUGCACCUGCUGUGCUUCACCAUCCACAGAAAGCAGAGCCCUUUGAGACCACACCAAGUUGUUUUGCAGAUUCACUGUAUUAAAAAGAUUUCCACAGCCCUGCUUCUACAAGAGCUGGGCACAUCUCACAAAUUUAUCAUCUCACUCACCAUGGGCAAGUUUCCAUCACGAAAAUAUUUGUGGUUUUUUGUUUGUUUAACAAGAUCUAAAGCUUUCUGACUUAAAAAAAAAACCUUUCUGUAGAGGAACAUGCAGCUAUUUGGUUGAAUUAUAGAACCCAAGCAUUGUGUUUGACAUGUGC
Serinus canaria (Common canary) is the source of this 656-nucleotide long non-coding RNA. RefSeq lists it as uncharacterized. Lineage: Eukaryota; Metazoa; Chordata; Aves; Passeriformes; Fringillidae. The record is from RefSeq and is a predicted model, not a curated record. The transcript is spliced from 3 exons.